GCAUAUGUCAAUGGCCUGUUGGUGUGGGCCAUCUGUGGAGGUCUCGGCAUUUUCGGGAUCUGGCCGUGUUGUUUGAUUCCGUUCUGUGUGGAUUCCUGCAAGGAUGUACAGCAUCGCUGCCCAUACUGCAAAACCCUUGUGUAUGUGCACAAACGCAUGUAGCUCCUGAAGCAAAGAUGAAAGAGCAAAAGAAAACUACCACCAACAUCUUCUGGACAUUACUGGGCUUAAUAAUUCAAAGAAAAAUACCACCAUGACAAGAAAAGACUUGUAUGGGUUUCUCUUUCCUGAUAGAUAGAUAGAUAGAUAGGAUAGAUAGAUAGAUAGAUAGAUAGAUAGAUAGAUAGAUAGAUAGAUAGAUAGAUAGAUAGAUAGAUAGAUAGAUAGAUAGAUAGAUAGAGAGAUAGGUGUACUGAUCAAUCGAGCAGAAUAUACAUAUUUUGUCUUGAUGCCAUUUUUGCACAGCAAUGUUUAUUUCAACGUUUGUUGAUUUGAUUAAAUUGUUCUUAAUCUAA
Long non-coding RNA from Cyprinus carpio (common carp), 515 nucleotides. RefSeq lists it as uncharacterized. The transcript has 2 exons. The record is from RefSeq and is a predicted model, not a curated record. Lineage: Eukaryota; Metazoa; Chordata; Actinopteri; Cypriniformes; Cyprinidae.